GCAGAGCACUCCUCGGGAGGCAGCAGUGGGGAAUAUUGCACAAUGGGCGCAAGCCUGAUGCAGCCAUGCCGCGUGUAUGAAGAAGGCCUUCGGGUUGUAAAGUACUUUCAGCAGUGAGGAAGGUGGGUAUGUUAAUAGCAUAUUCAUUUGACGUUAGCUGCAGAAGAAGCACCGGCUAACUCCGUGCCAGCAGCCGCGGUAAUACGGAGGGUGCGAGCGUUAAUCGGAAUUACUGGGCGUAAAGCGCAUGCAGGUGGUUUGUUAAGUCAGAUGUGAAAGCCCGGGGCUCAACCUCGGAAUUGCAUUUGAAACUGGCAAACUAGAGUACUGUAGAGGGGGUAGAAUUUCAGGUGUAGCGGUGAAAAUGCGUAGAGAUCUGAAGGAAUACCGGUGGCGAAGGCGGCCCCCUGGACAGAUACUGACACUCAGAUGCGAAAGCGUGGGGAGCAAACAGGAUUAGAUACCCUGGUAG
This 472-nucleotide ribosomal RNA is filed under the name uncultured bacterium. Its description in RNAcentral is "bacterial SSU rRNA". It matches the Rfam family "Bacterial small subunit ribosomal RNA", at positions 328 to 793 of the family's 1533-position model. The record is from RNAcentral.